UAAACAAGACUGUUCGCCAGAGUACUACCGGCAAUAGCUUAAAACUCAAAGGACUUGGCGGUGCUUUAUACCCUUCUAGAGGAGCCUGUUCUAUAAUCGAUAAACCCCGAUAAACCUCACCAUUCCUUGCUACUACAGUCUAUAUACCGCCAUCUUCAGCAAACCCUAAAAAGGUACAAAAGUAAGCACAAUCAUAAUACAUAAAAACGUUAGGUCAAGGUGUAACCUAUGGAACGGAAAGAAAUGGGCUACAUUUUCUAAUCUAAGAAAAUCCAACACGAAAGUUAUUAUGAAACUAAUAACCAAAGGAGGAUUUAGCACUAAACUAAGAAUAGAGUGCUUAGUUGAAUUAUGCCAUGAAGCACGCACACACCGCCCGUCACCCUC
RNAcentral lists this ribosomal RNA (387 nucleotides) under Cervus elaphus (red deer). Its description in RNAcentral is "partial 12S ribosomal RNA". It matches the Rfam family "Bacterial small subunit ribosomal RNA", at positions 856 to 1404 of the family's 1533-position model. Lineage: Eukaryota; Metazoa; Chordata; Mammalia; Artiodactyla; Cervidae. The record is from RNAcentral.